Callithrix jacchus (white-tufted-ear marmoset) is the source of this 107-nucleotide small nuclear RNA. The record is from Ensembl. Lineage: Eukaryota; Metazoa; Chordata; Mammalia; Primates; Cebidae.
GUACUCGCUUCAGCAGCACAUAUACUAAAAUUGAAACGAUACAGAGAAGAUUAGCAGGGCCCCUGUGCAAAUAUGACAUGCAAAUUUGUGAAGUGUUCCAUAUCUGA